This 364-nucleotide transfer-messenger RNA is filed under the name marine eukaryotic metagenome. It matches the Rfam family "transfer-messenger RNA". Rfam says of the family: Bacterial tmRNA, also known as 10Sa RNA or SsrA, is named for its dual tRNA and mRNA-like properties. Its role is to liberate the mRNA from a stalled ribosome. To accomplish this part of the tmRNA is used as a reading frame that ends in a translation stop signal. The record is from RNAcentral.
GGGGGUGAUCGGUUUCGACUUCGACGGUUGAUAUGAGAGAAGCGAGCCGUGGUCUCCGGAGCCACGUUAAAGAGCCGGAACACUUAGAAACGCCAAUGUCAAAACUAAUGACCUGGCGCUCGCUGCCUAAUUUAGGUAACGGGUAACGGCCUCACUGCCUCAGCCUCUCGGGUAGCGGUGGCCCUCAUCUGAGAGGCUUGCCUUCAGUCAUCGCCAGUGUGAUUGAAGGGACUUUUAGCUGGAUAAGGUUGCUUGAUCUGGGGUCGCUACCAACUCGCAACCCGACAACUUGCAAAGCGACUGCGCUCGGAGAAGACUCAUUGAAACGCCGGGGGACGCGGGUUCGAUUCCCGCCACCUCCACU